AGAAGGGACAGACAGACGUUGGAGGCGGGAGUCACUUGGGCUUCCAUGGGAACGCCAUACAGAGGCCUUGAACCUUUGAUCUCCUCAUCU
Molecule: long non-coding RNA, 90 nt
Organism: Oryctolagus cuniculus (rabbit)
Lineage: Eukaryota; Metazoa; Chordata; Mammalia; Lagomorpha; Leporidae
Rfam family: ZNFX1 antisense RNA 1 conserved region 2
Source: Rfam